This is a non-coding RNA of Dipodomys ordii (Ord's kangaroo rat), 65 nucleotides long. The record is from Rfam. NCBI's taxonomy places the organism in Eukaryota, Metazoa, Chordata, Mammalia, Rodentia, Heteromyidae.
GGUGGCUUAGUGGUAGAGUGCUUGCCUUGCAUGCAUGAGGUCCUGGGUUCAAUUCCUCAGCACCA